Molecule: long non-coding RNA, 844 nt
Organism: Arabidopsis thaliana (thale cress)
Lineage: Eukaryota; Viridiplantae; Streptophyta; Magnoliopsida; Brassicales; Brassicaceae
Product: other RNA
Exons: 1
Source: RefSeq
GUUAACAAACACACUUCAAAUUGGUUUUUCUCUCUCUUCUCUCUCUCGCAUAUUUGAGAGAGAGAAACCGUUUGAUGUUCUGCCGUCCGGUAGAAAUCCGGUUUAUUUUCGACAUCCAUCGGCUCUUUCAUCGUUGGUUGGUUGGCUUUGUGUCUAGCAUUGUCCGUAUCUUUUGCGGUGAUGACUAGCUUUCUUCCGGCAUAGGUGGCUCCGAUUAGCACCUUUGGCCAGCUCUAUUUCUGGCAUAGGUGGCUUCGAUUAGCACCUAUGACUGGCUCUGCUUCCGUAUUCUCGGUUUCGAGAUUGUCCGGCUCUAUCUCCGAUGAUUCCACUUCUCUCCGAUGGUGUUUGGUCCAUAUUUUUCUUCUUCCUUGUCUCUUUUGUUUCAAUUUGCUUUGGUUUGCUUUGCUUUGAAUUUUUUUUACCUCUUUCUUUUGAUCUGAGAUUGUUAUUCAUUAGCCUCUCUUGUAUAAGGGACUGAUUUCGAUCUUUAUGCUUACCGGAUUUUAUUUUUGAAGAUCGACUUGCGGUACUGGUUUGAUGUGUUUCUUUGUGCCUUUGGUUUGAGGAUGAAGAAAUUGGAACUGGCACUUUUCUUUUGCCAAGGUUAAUUGGAGUGAUGGACAUUUUAGUUUUUAGGUUCUAACGGUGAUGCCUCUAAGUUCAUUUUUGAGAUGUCUCGAUGAAAGAUUUUGUUGGAGAAUCGAAGAGGAAGUUCUUCUUGGAGUCUUAAACCCUUGCAUUAAGAACAAGAUCAACUUACCAGUGAUAAAUUUAUCAUUACAUUGUCUCAUGUACGUUCUUGUUUUUCGUAACAAAUAAAGCUAUGAAAAGUAAAAUUAGG